GCGCUCGCUUCGGCAGCACAUAUACUAGAAUUUGAACGAUANAGAGAAGAUUAACUUGGUCCCUGCGCAAGAAUGAUACACAAACUCGUGAAGCGUUCCUUUAAAAA
RNAcentral lists this small nuclear RNA (107 nucleotides) under Salvator merianae (Argentine black and white tegu). Lineage: Eukaryota; Metazoa; Chordata; Lepidosauria; Squamata; Teiidae. The record is from RNAcentral.